Molecule: ribosomal RNA, 253 nt
Filed under: uncultured bacterium
Lineage: Bacteria
Description: partial 16S ribosomal RNA
Rfam family: Bacterial small subunit ribosomal RNA
Source: RNAcentral
UACGCAGGGGGCUAGCGUUGCUCGGAAUCACUGGGCGUAAAGCGCACGUAGGCGGAUUGCUAAGUCAGGGGUGAAAUCCUGGAGCUCAACUCCAGAACUGCCUUUGAUACUGGCAACCUUGAGUCCGGGAGAGGUGAGUGGAACUGCGAGUGUAGAGGUGAAAUUCGUAGAUAUUCGCAAGAACACCAGUGGCGAAGGCGGCUCACUGGCCCGGUACUGACGCUGAGGUGCGAAAGCGUGGGGAGCAAACAGG